UUCACAGAGCCUGUUUGGCCUACUGGCCACCUCCAAUUGUCACCAUUUUGAGUGAUUCCAAACAUUCCAUUUAAUGGAGGUGGACAGAAUGCCAAAAUGGCUAUGGAAC
Phaseolus vulgaris (common bean) is the source of this 109-nucleotide non-coding RNA. Lineage: Eukaryota; Viridiplantae; Streptophyta; Magnoliopsida; Fabales; Fabaceae. The record is from Rfam.